ACCGGAGAAGUCUUUUGUUUCGCCAUCUCUCUUGUCUGUGUCUUCUCCAUCUCUCGUCUCUGUGUCUCUCCCGGUGAAGGCCAUGCAGCUGACUGGAAUCGGGAAUACAAAUUACUCGGUAAAGCCAUUGAUCGGAGGUCCGUUUGUAUCUCUGUUCCAAGUCGAAACCGGAGAAGAUGGUUCUUUCCUCUGUCUCAUUCUUCCCAUCAAAAAAGAAAGUAGCAGAGUAAAUUUUAUAGACGAUGUUAGAGAAACGUUCGAGAACUUAUUGACAAUAAUGAAUUUCAAAACCUCACUGAUGAAGGGAUUGAAGCUAUGCGGAGAGAGGUAAUGUGCAAAAGGGGAUGAGAUUACCGAAGAUAUGAUUGCAAACAGCAAAACAUCAGCGUUUAAUCUUGUUUUCAGGAAAAAUAUCUCCUUAAGAAGCAGAAGAAGUAUGCACCAAAGGUGCUUCUAAUACGCCCUUUUGCUGGAAGUAUCUAUGAAGCCUAUUUAAAGAAAUAUCCAGCCAUGAUGAAGCAUGCUCCCUUUUGUUAACAAUGGCUACUGUCACUGCAUACUCGGAUGUGCUUGUGGUGGAUAUGGUUGGUGGUCUUGUCACUGGUGCAGUGGCUGAAUGUCUAGGAGGCGCUGGUUAUGUUUGCAAUACAUAAAAGGGAGAUUCUCCUUCCUCUGUGGAUAUGGUUAGGAUGUUCAACUUUACUGACAAGGUUAAAAGAGAGGGAUCAAGAUGAUUACGAGAACAGAGAUGUACGUUAUCAAGAUGCUUAGUUUUGUCAAGAAGAAGAAGGUUAGUCUCUUACAUUACUUAUAGAGGUUAGUGAUAACAAGCCCUGAAAAAAAACAAGGAUGACAUUGGUGUUGAAUCAGAACAUGAACAAAGAUGAUCCCUUUUGUUAAACUCCUGCUUCGUUUACAAUUGAGAGAGUCCUAUGUGUAUUAAUUUUGUGGUUUCUCAAUGAGUUCUGAGACGUAACUCAUCAUUUGUUUCCUCUCAUAGGCUUUGUUUCUCACUUUGAUCAUUAAGCAUAGUUUCGAGGGCAUUUA
Molecule: long non-coding RNA, 1047 nt
Organism: Brassica oleracea var. oleracea
Lineage: Eukaryota; Viridiplantae; Streptophyta; Magnoliopsida; Brassicales; Brassicaceae
Exons: 6
Source: RefSeq, a predicted model, not a curated record